This 1825-nucleotide long non-coding RNA is filed under the name Homo sapiens (human). RNAcentral's name for it is "long non-coding RNA NONHSAT144453.2". The record is from RNAcentral. Lineage: Eukaryota; Metazoa; Chordata; Mammalia; Primates; Hominidae.
CUGGGCCUGACCAUCUCUGGGUUCUCAGCACAGAGGCCGUCAAAACGUCAGGCAGGCUGGGCUGUGAGACUGUGGGUGCAUUAUGUGUGCUCUCAGGCCUCAGUCUCCUCAUCUGUGGUAUGGGGGUGCUGACGCCACCCCACUGACGGGCUCAGAAACGAGUGAAGGAUAAAAUGCACCGAGACUCCGUGCCCACCUCUCUGUUAUCCACACCAGCCUGGCCUCACGCAGAGACUCUGUGCCCCUCUCCUGCUCUAGAUACCAGCCAGGCCUCACGGCAGCCCUUGCUGGGCCCUGCAUUAACUCCCCCAGGCCUUGGACUCUGAGAGUUGGGACUCUCGUCUGGCCCAGGUGACAGAGGAGGAAACUGAGAAGCAGAGAGCCACGUGACUCACCUGUGGGUGGACUGUGGGAAUCGCCAAGCUCGGAUGAGAACCACGUGGGCAGUUCCAGGCCCGAGGCCGCCCACCCCGGGGGGAGAGGCUCCCCGGAGCAUCUGAGUCUGCAGCCCACUGGGGUGUCCGCCCGUGCAGCCACCAAGCCUGCUGGCCCUAGUACACCUCGCCACGCUCCCUCAGCCCGAGAGAGCCGGCCGGGCUGGCUGCAGCCCCAGAGGAGGUUCCCUCUCUUACCCAGAGGGGAGCAGGGUGAGCCGCGUGUCCACGGCACCCCCAGCCCAGAUCCCCGGAGCCCACAGGUACCUGUCGGGCGUCCUCCUCUUGCCGUUCUCGUUGACUUCCAGUAGCAGCUCUGAGGAGUCGAUGGGGGAGGAGGCGCUGGCGUCCAGCAGGAGCUGCUCAUGCUGGGCCAAGUACUGGGCGGGCGUCUGCUUGGCCAGGCGUGCACAGUGCAGGAGCUCCCGCUGCAGCAAGGGCAGGUUUGCCUGUGGGGUGGGGAAGGAGGGCCUGGGUAGCAUGCAGGGGUGCACAGCCCUGCUCAGGUCCGAGCAGAGGGGGCCUGGGCUGGGUGGCCGAAAGCUCAACUUGACCUCGGGCCUCAAAGGUCAAGGUGCUCGACCUCUCUGGGCCUCAAGUUCCUUCCUAGCAGUGCCAUGGGAGGGUGGCGUGGGAGGGUGGGCACAGAGCUUCGCAGGAGUGCCUCACCUGGGCCACACGGCGAUGUGGGGCAUGUGGGACUUGAGCCCAGAUCCUGGACUCCCAGGGUGGGGCUUUCCCACCGCACCCAGCUCCCUCCCAUGGCGUGGUCUGGAGAAGGCGAGAGGACGAAGGGGCAGCAGAUCAUGGUUGGUCUUCCCGCCUGCACCCGCCCUGCCCAGCAGGCACCACAUGACCCAACACAGCUGGGGAAAUGCAGGCUCAGAGAGGGGGAGGCAGCCCUGGGCCUACAGGCGGCUCACACGAGGGAGCUGGGAGUGAAACCCAGCUGGGAUUGCCUGCAGUGUGUCUGCUCCAGCCCUGAUGGGAAGCCCUGAGGUUCAGCUUCCCCUUCCCUUCCCGCUGGUUUCCAGCCUUGGCCUUGAUGGAGCGUGGACCUAGGACGUGGACACCCACGUUCUGUGGCUGCUCAAGUGAUCCUCCAGCCUUGGUGAGGACGGCCUCAAGACCCACGUGUGCGGGUAAAGACUCCGCAGCAUGCGGCCGAAGGACGGCCCGGUGUACGGGAUCCGUAUGCAGACCCUGCCUUUGACGCCUGUGUGUACCCGCGGCGCCCGCCGCCUCGUCCUUGGCUCCAGGCUGGCACUGCUGGGCCGCAAGCCGGGCUCCUCGGGUGCCUUCCCCAAAGUCUUCCCAGAGCUGCCGCGGGAGGGCGGACAGGCGUGCUGGACCCUGAGCAUGCUGGACCAGGGCCCAGCAGCAGGCCACUU